Molecule: ribosomal RNA, 440 nt
Filed under: uncultured bacterium
Lineage: Bacteria
Description: partial 16S ribosomal RNA
Rfam family: Bacterial small subunit ribosomal RNA
Source: RNAcentral
CCUACGGGUGGCUGCAGUGGGGAAUAUUGCACAAUGGGGGAAACCCUGAUGCAGCGACGCCGCGUGAGUGAAGAAGUAAUUCGUUAUGUAAAGCUCUAUCAGCAGGGAAGAAAAUGACGGUACCUGAGUAAGAAGCACCGGCUAACUACGUGCCAGCAGCCGCGGUACUACGUAGGGGGCAAGCGUUAUCCGGAUUUACUGGGCGUAAAGGGAGCGUAGACGGCAGUGCAAGUCUGAAGUGAAAGGCGAGGGCUCAACCCCCGGACUGCUCUGGAAACUGUUCGGCUAGAGUGCAGGAGAGGUAAGUGGAAUUCUUGGUGUAGCGGUGAAAUGCGUAGAGAUUAGGAGGAACACUAGUGGCGAAGGCGGCUUACUAGACCAUAACUGACGUUGAUGCUCGAAAGCGUGGGGAGCAAACAGGAUUAGAUACCCGUGUAGUC